Chelydra serpentina (North American snapping turtle) is the source of this 176-nucleotide small nucleolar RNA. Its record names the gene U3. It matches the Rfam family "Small nucleolar RNA U3". Rfam says of the family: Small nucleolar RNAs (snoRNAs) are involved in the processing and modification of rRNA in the nucleolus. NCBI's taxonomy places the organism in Eukaryota, Metazoa, Chordata, Testudines, Chelydridae. The record is from Ensembl.
AAGACUAUACUUUCAGGGAUCAUUUCUAUAGUUUGUAACUAGAGAAGUGUAGUUGAAAGUGUCUGACCUCGCUAACCACGAGGAGGAGUUAAAGUGUUCUCUUCUGAGCGCGAAGCGAGCAGACAGUGUUGCUUUAAUGCAGCUGCUGUCUGUUAUUGAUGACCGUUCCUUCUUCC